GACGAACGCUGGCGGCGUGCUUAACACAUGCAAGUCGAACGGAAAGGCCCUGCUUUUGUGGGGUGCUCGAGUGGCGAACGGGUGAGUAACACGUGAGUAACCUGCCCUUGACUUUGGGAUAACUUCAGGAAACUGGGGCUAAUACCGGAUAGGAGCUCCUGCUGCAUGGUGGGGGUUGGAACGUUUCGGCGGUUGGGGAUGGACUCGCGGCUUAUCAGCUUGUUGGUGGGGUAGUGGCUUACCAAGGCUUUGACGGGUAGCCGGCCUGAGAGGGUGACCGGCCACAUUGGGACUGAGAUACGGCCCAGACUCCUACGGGAGGCAGCAGUGGGGAAUAUUGCACAAUGGGCGGAAGCCUGAUGCAGCAACGCCGCGUGCGGGAUGACGGCCUUCGGGUUGUAAACCGCUUUCGCCUGUGACGAAGCGGGAGUGACGGUAAUGGGUAAAGAAGCACCGGCUAACUACGUG
RNAcentral lists this ribosomal RNA (468 nucleotides) under uncultured bacterium. Its description in RNAcentral is "partial 16S ribosomal RNA". It matches the Rfam family "Bacterial small subunit ribosomal RNA", at positions 28 to 507 of the family's 1533-position model. The record is from RNAcentral.